Molecule: ribosomal RNA, 1083 nt
Filed under: Gibellula pulchra
Lineage: Eukaryota; Fungi; Ascomycota; Sordariomycetes; Hypocreales; Cordycipitaceae
Description: SSU rRNA
Rfam family: Eukaryotic small subunit ribosomal RNA
Source: RNAcentral
UACAGCGACUGCGAAUGGCUCAUUAUAUAAGUUAUCGUUUAUUUGAUAGUACCUUACUACUUGGAUAACCGUGGUAAUUCUAGAGCUAAUACAUGCUGCCAACCCCGACUCCGGAAGGGGCGUAUUUAUUAGAUCCAAAGCCAACGCCCUCCUGGGGCUCCUUGGUGAUUCAUGAUAACUCUUCGAAUCGCACGGCCUUGCGCCGGCGAUGGUUCAUUCAAAUUUCUUCCCUAUCAACUUUCGAUGUUUGGGUAUUGGCCAAACAUGGUCGCAACGGGUAACGGAGGGUUAGGGCUCGACCCCGGAGAAGGAGCCUGAGAAACGGCUACUACAUCCAAGGAAGGCAGCAGGCGCGCAAAUUACCCAAUCCCGACACGGGGAGGUAGUGACAAUAAAUACUGAUACAGGGCUCUUUAGGGUCUUGUAAUUGGAAUGAGUACAGUUUAAACCCCUUAGCGAGGAACAAUUGGAGGGCAAGUCUGGUGCCAGCAGCCGCGGUAAUUCCAGCUCCAAUAGCGUAUAUUAAAGUUGUUGUGGUUAAAAAGCUCGUAGUUGAACCUUGGGCCUGGCUGGCCGGUCCGCCUCACCGCGUGCACUGGUCCGGCCGGGCCUUUCCCUCUGCGGAACCCCAUGCCCUUCGCUGGGCGUGGCGGGGAGGCAGGACGUUUACUUUGAAAAAAUUAGAGUGCUCAAGGCAGGCCUAUGCUCGGAUACAUUAGCAUGGAAUAAUGAAACAGGACGCGCGGUUCCGUUUCGUUGGCUCUAGGGACCGCCGUAAUGAUCGAUAGGGACAGUCGGGGGCAUCAGUAUUCAGCUGUCAGAGGUGAAAUUCUUGGAUUUGCUGAAGACUAACUACUGCGAAAGCAUUUGCCAAGGAUGUUUUUCAUUAAUCAGGAACGAAAGUUAGGGGAUCGAAGACGAUCAGAUACCGUCGUAGUCCUAACCAUAAACUAUGCCGACUAGGGAUCGGACGAUGUGGUCUCUGACGCGUUCGGCACCUUGCGAGAAAUCAAAGUGCCUGGGCCUCCAGGGGAGUAUGUCGCAAGCUGAAACUUAAGAAUGACGAAGCACCACCCAGGGUAU